This 585-nucleotide ribosomal RNA is filed under the name uncultured bacterium. RNAcentral describes it as "bacterial SSU rRNA". It matches the Rfam family "Bacterial small subunit ribosomal RNA", at positions 102 to 683 of the family's 1533-position model. The record is from RNAcentral.
ACGGGUGAGUAAUGUCUGGGGAUCUGCCCGAUAGAGGGGGAUAACCACUGGAAACGGUGGCUAAUACCGCAUAACGUCGCAAGACCAAAGAGGGGGACCUUCGGGCCUCUCACUAUCGGAUGAACCCAGAUGGGAUUAGCUAGUAGGCGGGGUAAUGGCCCACCUAGGCGACGAUCCCUAGCUGGUCUGAGAGGAUGACCAGCCACACUGGAACUGAGACACGGUCCAGACUCCUACGGGAGGCAGCAGUGGGGAAUAUUGCACAAUGGGCGCAAGCCUGAUGCAGCCAUGCCGCGUGUAUGAAGAAGGCCUUCGGGUUGUAAAGUACUUUCAGCGGGGAGGAAGGCGAUGGGGUUAAUAACCCUGUCGAUUGACGUUACCCGCAGAAGAAGCACCGGCUAACUCCGUGCCAGCAGCCGCGGUAAUACGGAGGGUGCAAGCGUUAAUCGGAAUUACUGGGCGUAAAGCGCACGCAGGCGGUCUGUUAAGUCAGAUGUGAAAUCCCCGGGCUUAACCUGGGAACUGCAUUUGAAACUGGCAGGCUUGAGUCUUGUAGAGGGGGGUAGAAUUCCAGGUGUAGCGGUG